CUACGGGUCGCAGCAGUCGAGAAUCUUCCGCAAUGGACGAAAGUCUGACGGAGCGACGCCGCGUGCGGGAUGAAGGCCUUCGGGUUGUAAACCGCUGUCAGUGGGGAGGAAAUGCAUCAGGGUUCUCCCUGGUGUUUGACCGAUCCGCAGAGGAAGCGCGGGCUAAGUUCGUGCCAGCAGCCGCGGUAACACAGAACUGCGCGAACGUUAUUCGGAAUCACUGGGCUUAAAGAGUUCGUAGGCGGCCUUUCAAGUCGGGUGUGAAAUCCCUCGGCUCAACCGAGGAAUUGCGCCUGAUACUGUUGGGCUUGAGGGGGAUAGGGGUGAGCGGAACUGAUGGUGGAGCGGUGAAAUGCGUUGAUAUCAUCAGGAACACCGGUGGCGAAGGCGGCUCACUGGAUCUCUUCUGACGCUGAGGAACGAAAGCUAGGGGAGCGAACGGGAUUAGAUACCCCAGUAGUC
This 462-nucleotide ribosomal RNA is filed under the name uncultured bacterium. RNAcentral's name for it is "partial 16S ribosomal RNA". It matches the Rfam family "Bacterial small subunit ribosomal RNA", at positions 339 to 795 of the family's 1533-position model. The record is from RNAcentral.